Molecule: non-coding RNA, 212 nt
Organism: Pelobates cultripes (western spadefoot toad)
Lineage: Eukaryota; Metazoa; Chordata; Amphibia; Anura; Pelobatidae
Source: the annotation of a GenBank genome assembly
GAGAAAAGGAGGCCAGCACCCUCAUCCGGAGGGGUUCAACCUGCAAGAGCCCCAUCUUCUGUGUUGUUCGUGACCAAGUCAGAGGGCAACAACAAUGUGAACCUGCAGGAUGUUACAGUGGGAGAGAAGGUAACUGUGGGACUCAGUGACACUGGGGCAGAUGUGACUCUUGUGCGUCCAGAGCUAGUGCGCUCUGAGGACUUCAUCCCUGG